CCGACGGUGAGGGAUGAAGGCUGGGGGAGCAAACCGGAUUAGAUACCCGGGUAGUCCAGGGCGUAAACGCUGCAGGCUUGGUGUUGGGGGCCCUACGUGGGCGCUCAGUGCCGGAGUGAAGAUGUUAAGCCUGCCGCUUGGGGAGUAUGUCCGCAAGGAUGAAACUUAAAGGAAUUGGCGGGAGAGCACAGCAACGGGAGGAGCGUGCGGUUCAAUUGGAUUCAACGCCGUAAAACUCACCGGGAGC
This 247-nucleotide ribosomal RNA is filed under the name uncultured archaeon. Its description in RNAcentral is "partial 16S ribosomal RNA". It matches the Rfam family "Archaeal small subunit ribosomal RNA", at positions 691 to 937 of the family's 1478-position model. The record is from RNAcentral.